UUAUGAUUUCUCACAAGGUGCCCGGGGAGUCAUCCAUGCAAACUCUCCGGAUCCCUGGUCGGCAUAGUUUACGGUAGAGACUACGACGGUAUCUGAUCGUCUUCGAUCCCCCUACUUUCGUUCUUGAUUAAUGAAAACAUCCUUGGCAAAUGCUUUCGCAUUGGUCAGUCUUUAGUAAAUCCUAGAAUUUCACCUCUGACAACUAAAUACUAAUGCCCCCAACUGUCCCUAUCAAUCAUUACUUCAGCCAAGCGAAACCAACGAAACAAGACCGAAGUCGUAUUCCAUUAUCCCAUGCUAACGUAUUCGGAGGCGAGUUACGCCUGCUUUGAACACUCUAAUUUCCUCAAAGUAAACGAUCCUAGCGGUUGAUUCCCCACCCUCGCGGAUGAGGACCGUUAGGAACAUAGGAGGCCAGUGACCCGCUCCCCGAAGGGGCGGACCACUAAAGACCUUCCGAAAUCCAACUACGAGCUUUUUAACUGCAACAACUUUAAUAUACGCUAUU
RNAcentral lists this ribosomal RNA (508 nucleotides) under Vermamoeba vermiformis. Its description in RNAcentral is "partial 18S ribosomal RNA". Lineage: Eukaryota; Tubulinea; Echinamoebida; Vermamoebidae. The record is from RNAcentral.